RNAcentral lists this long non-coding RNA (381 nucleotides) under Vicia faba (fava bean). The record is from RNAcentral. Lineage: Eukaryota; Viridiplantae; Streptophyta; Magnoliopsida; Fabales; Fabaceae.
AUGAUAGGGUUUAAAAGUGUGACGAUCCCAAUCCUGAAAUCCCUCUUCUUCUUCUUUACGCCGUUCACUUCUUCUCUUCAAAACAAAACGCGGCGCUGCAACACCAUCUCUGAUAGAUCUCCGCCGUUUCUUUCUGAUCUCGACUCAACCUCCGCUUCGGUUUGCGGCUACAACAGUUCACGAUUUAACACCUUGUCGCUCUAUCAACUCUGCUUUGAACUCCUUCAAUGUCGUCACAGAGGCUUCGUCUCACACUCCCAACACAACGUGGCGGAGAACUUUGUUUGUUCUUCAAGCUUGACAAAGUCGAGGAAAAAACCAGAGAAUAAUGACUCAGGUUUUCAGGCAUAUUGCAAUGUUUUUGAAACGGGGCGGGGCUGA